Molecule: long non-coding RNA, 482 nt
Organism: Nycticebus coucang (slow loris)
Lineage: Eukaryota; Metazoa; Chordata; Mammalia; Primates; Lorisidae
Exons: 3
Source: RefSeq, a predicted model, not a curated record
CUUUAUCCUUAGCCAGCAUCAAUUUAUUCCUGGGCAGCAGAGUAAGCGUCUAGUGGUGUAGACGUCCCAGAUGUCCUCCUGCAUAUUUUUCCCUUUACAAAUGAAGAACUGCCUCUGAGGAAGAAGAGAUGAGGACACAGGUCCACACAGAAGAAGAUGCUAUGAAGACACACAUGGCCGGAAACCAGGGGAGAGGCCAGAAAACAACCCUGCCACAUCUCCAUCUUGAGCUUCUGGCCUCUAAAACUAUGAAAAAACCAAGGCCCAGAUUCUACUGAGCAGACCAGUGGACAAACUGAAACUCAUACUCUCCAAGGUUUUAAAUACAAUCAUGUGUCUCUUAACACGGGGAGAUACAAGUUCUGAGAAAUUCAUCCUUAGGCGAUUUCAUCAUUUACACAAAGCUAGGUGCUACAACCCAUGACACCCUCCUGGGCUGUACACCUGCCCAGCAUGUCACCACUUCCCAGCAUGAUGGUAAG